This 117-nucleotide ribosomal RNA is filed under the name Sinocyclocheilus grahami. The record is from RNAcentral. Lineage: Eukaryota; Metazoa; Chordata; Actinopteri; Cypriniformes; Cyprinidae.
AUCGGCAGCCAUAUCACCCUGUAGCCCAAGACUGGUUGCCCACUGAAGCUAAGCAGGGCUGAGCCUGGUCAGUACCUGGAUGGGAGACCUCCUGGGAAAACUAGGUUGCUGCUGGAA